UAUGGAACUUUGCCUUUGAGAUUCACGGUUUGUUUUUGUAUUGUUUAUUGUUUUGUCGGCGUCAUUUUGAUUAAUUAAAAGAUAAUGUACGCUCUACGCUGCACCUUGGUCCUCUCCUUCAAACAGACGUGACAGAACUUCCCACCAAAACGGAACCAAGCAGCGUGGUAAGGAGGAAUGGACAUGGGAGGACAUCCUGGACGGCAAGGGAUCCUACACGUGGAAGGAGAUCCUGGCCGGAAAGGAUCGCCUGCCCUGGGAGCAGGAUCAGAAGGAGCGAGCUGCAAAGUGACAGUCACCUGCUCCUGCCACUAGCCUUGCCCCUGUCCAAUGGAUAGAGAGGGACAGCAGAGCCAACAAAAUUCACAAAAGACCUGGACAUAAAAGCUACAAGAAGACCUCAAGACAUGUCACAGUGAAGGACAUGGACCUUACCGGAACAGGUGACCAUAUUGCAGCUAAUGGCGUGGGUGAGUACCACCUUAAAUAGACCUUGACCCUGGGGCAUCUGACCCUAAAACAGGGCCCCCCCCCCCAGAAGUUAUUUGUUUUUGUUUUAACCCUAAAUAACCACCCCUGCAUUAAUUAGUCAAAGGCUUGAUGAUUAAUUGACUAAUUGAACCAUGUGUGUCAGUUAAGGGCUAAAACAAAAAUGUGAAACGUCCGGAGGGGCCGAGGAGAGAUCUCCCUUCUGGGAUUUCUUAAUAGACAAGGCUAGGAUCGUUACACUACUCCCUCUGUUCAGAAAACACAACCUGUGCUUCUCUAUCACAAAUCCCUCACGCCUGAACAGGACGUGCUUUUGACCCUCAUACAGUAUCCUUCUUCUGCACAUCAGAGUAGCAAAUGGUAGGAGAAGGCAUCGUUCAACUUGUCAGACAGCAUGACUACCUUUGUAAGGACAUGUCCAACUAGUACUAAAUGCAGUUUUUAGCUGUCUCACUGGCUUUCAUUUUAAUGUUGGGUUAAAUACAAAGUGGUGCCUUAAAACAUUCAAAUCCUCAGACCGAUUGAAUGUAAGCCUCUGUCUUGCAGGCAUGAACUCUUAAGUAUGUAUUGACAAUAGAUUCAAAGUGCUAUAUUACUCCCAAAUUAAGAAGAACCACUGCGAAUGUACAUUAAAACCGCAUAGUUAUGUACAUGUCAUUUAAUGACAUAUAUAUAUAAUAUAAUGGUGUACAGUAUAUCAUAAUUUUAUCUGUCAGAGAGGCUUCUCAUCUCUUCACCCAAUUGCCUGCCCAGGCAUCUUCUCUGUGCCACAUGUGACAUAGCCACCCAUAGCACCAAGGUUUUGCACAACAGGGAGUCUCUGUUUGAAGGGUUUUAUCGCCCCUUGUCCCCAACCUCCGUAAUUCAUCAGGAUGAUGAGGGGUCCCUUACCUUCCAGGAGAAAGGUGUGUGUUUAUUGUUUAGGUGUUUCAAAUAAAUCUGAUAGCCCCCCCUGACAGUGACGAGUGGCAAGCAAAGUCAUCCUGAUUGGAAUAAAUGGGCGCUACAACCUGUCCCUUCCUGCUCUGAAUUGCUCCCGGUGUCUAAGACAUUGGACAGUGGGCUGGACGAACCUGUAAAGAGUGGCUACUGGCCAGCCACCGUGACUCACCAGACCAUCUUCACAGUGGACCUCUUCAAGUCCUUUGAAGACAUGAAUUAGUUGGCCCCAGGAUGCUCCCGUCAAGCCUUUGUGGGAAUGAUUGACGGAAGAACAAAGCACUUUGGCAGGAGUGGAAAGAUAUGUGGCGAUACAUUCCAGAAGGCAUUCCUCGAUAGGACGUAAGGGUAGUUUGAAAUAGACAAGCUUUGUGGAUAUGCUCUCCUCCAUAGUCCCACCUGCUCACAGGAGAUGCAUGCAAUAUCAGUGGAUGGGAAUCGCAAGCAAUGCAGCUUCCGGAAAGCCUCAGGUUUCUAUAACAUGAGGCAUCUCCAGCAGAAGAUUGAGGGUUUUUACCUCAGUGUGAAACAGAAGAACACUACCUCUACCGUUUGACAGUCAUCAGAUUCUGAGACAAAUUGUUGAGGACAAAGCACCCUUGACAGCUGCCGUUGUUCAACUUCACGAGCAGCAGGCAGAGUUUAGGCUCCCCACGGCGGAUGAGCUGCUCAACACUGUCAACUUUGUGUGGCCAUGGGAGAGACUUGGUGCCAUUGAGUUUAUGAUUGCAGAAGGCAACAGCCAUCUUGCCAUCAGAAAGACAGCAGGCAGGAGGAAGAGAGGAUCCGGGUGAAGGAGAUGAAGAGGCACUGGGAGAGCCUUCAAAGAACAGCAGGGUUUAGUUGAGGCAAUGCAGUGGAGUUGUCAGAGGGAGGAAGGAAUGGCCUUCUCUGCCACCUGAAGAGAAGAUUGAACUGAACUGAACUGACACAUGACCAAGACAACACCAGGAAUAACUAUCACAAGCUGAUUCUGGGAGAAGGGUAUAUUUUUGAGGACUCUGAUGUAGAUGUGAACUCAGAUGAAGAUGGGUCCUAUUGCUGAGAGCUCAGAUGACGACUGCUAAUGCUUUCUGAAAUCAUACAUCACCCCUGCCUCUUUCUCUCGGUCUCGCUCGCUCCCGCAGGAGAGGGAAAAGGCCGCCACCACCUCCCUUGGGAGCAACCUGGUCUCCUGAUGUUGACCCCUGACCCCUCACCUUCUGAACCCAUCCAGGGAAAUGUAAUUUGCCUGAUGACACGUUAGUGGAGAAGGAACGUCAUUUUAGCGCAUUUGUUUUCAUGUUUCCUCUCCUCACCUCCUCUCCUAUAUUUCUUCCAGUCCUAGACCAUCAUCAGCAACUGUUGGUUGAGGACCUGUUCUUCAUUUUUUUGUAUUUUGUAUUAGUAUUUUCUAUGCUGUCGUAAUUGAGAUUUUUGUGUAAUUGUGAGUUACAAAAGAGUCUUUGGUCGCAAUGGGACUGCUAAAAUAAAUAGACAAAGGUCUUAAUAAAUAAAUGCAUUAAGCACUAACAGCUCUGAGUGUGUGUUUCAAUCGAUUACAUAGUAUGAAUUAAUUAUUUUGAUGUAAUAAAAAGUGUUGGUGCAGCAUGCUGCAAGCCAUAGCUGCCCCUUUCAACAUUAUAUGUACCACAUCUUUCUAAUCUGAUAUUGAGUGGAAUGUACUGUUGC
Molecule: long non-coding RNA, 3099 nt
Organism: Oncorhynchus kisutch (coho salmon)
Lineage: Eukaryota; Metazoa; Chordata; Actinopteri; Salmoniformes; Salmonidae
Exons: 9
Source: RefSeq, a predicted model, not a curated record